RNAcentral lists this ribosomal RNA (750 nucleotides) under Microbacterium aurantiacum. RNAcentral describes it as "partial 16S ribosomal RNA". It matches the Rfam family "Bacterial small subunit ribosomal RNA", at positions 74 to 845 of the family's 1533-position model. Lineage: Bacteria; Bacillati; Actinomycetota; Actinomycetes; Micrococcales; Microbacteriaceae. The record is from RNAcentral.
GCAAGCUUGCUUGGUGGAUCAGUGGCGAACGGGUGAGUAACACGUGAGCAACCUGCCCUGGACUCUGGGAUAAGCGCUGGAAACGGUGUCUAAUACUGGAUAUGAGCUCUCAUCGCAUGGUGGGGGUUGGAAAGAUUUUUCGGUCUGGGAUGGGCUCGCGGCCUAUCAGCUUGUUGGUGAGGUAAUGGCUCACCAAGGCGUCGACGGGUAGCCGGCCUGAGAGGGUGACCGGCCACACUGGGACUGAGACACGGCCCAGACUCCUACGGGAGGCAGCAGUGGGGAAUAUUGCACAAUGGGCGGAAGCCUGAUGCAGCAACGCCGCGUGAGGGAUGACGGCCUUCGGGUUGUAAACCUCUUUUAGCAGGGAAGAAGCGAGAGUGACGGUACCUGCAGAAAAAGCGCCGGCUAACUACGUGCCAGCAGCCGCGGUAAUACGUAGGGCGCAAGCGUUAUCCGGAAUUAUUGGGCGUAAAGAGCUCGUAGGCGGUUUGUCGCGUCUGCUGUGAAAUCCCGAGGCUCAACCUCGGGCCUGCAGUGGGUACGGGCAGACUAGAGUGCGGUAGGGGAGAUUGGAAUUCCUGGUGUAGCGGUGGAAUGCGCAGAUAUCAGGAGGAACACCGAUGGCGAAGGCAGAUCUCUGGGCCGUAACUGACGCUGAGGAGCGAAAGGGUGGGGAGCAAACAGGCUUAGAUACCCUGGUAGUCCACCCCGUAAACGUUGGGAACUAGUUGUGGGGACCAUUCCACG